GUUUAUAAAGGACAGUUGGUCAGAAGCUGGUAAUGGUAUAAAUAUUGGAAGACCUGACUACCUGAGAGGAAAGAAAGCAAAUCUCUGAAAAGGUCUAGCCAUAAGUUAAGAAAGUGCCAACCAGAAAUGACUUCUGGUGUCAUUUCCGAUGGUCAAAAAAAUGGCUGAAAAUUGGAGGGCUUGCAGGGCAUUUCUGAAGAGCAAGAAGCAGAAAUAGUUUGGAAGAGCACAGGUACCUAAUGACGUCCUUGCUGGCACUGCAUCUUUAUUAAUCCAGAAGGAGACCCAGGAAAGAACAACGGUCAAUAUGCAAGGAAUGUAUGUCUGAAUUGUAAAAUACCCCAUACGUCUGCUCAGAACAAAGAAGAUUGUCAUGACAACAUAAUCCCCUAUAAGAAAACAACAACAACAACCCAGAAUCAAUUAUACCAUACAAGUGGUUUUCUGUUAGACAUUUCUGUUUGGAUUUUGUCUCAAAAUGACACUCUACUGUGGUUGAAAAUUUGCUACUGGGGAAGUGUUCUCUGAUCAAAUGGAAGCAAAAAAAUUACUAGAAAUGUUCAAAAUUAAUUAAUUAAAUACUGUUUUAACUUCAUUUUAAACUAUUGUUUUAAGGUUUUAAAUUCUUAUAAUGUUUUAACUUUUUGUUGUCAAUUAUUUAACCAGAGUUUUAAUUUGUCAUUUAUUUGUUUUAACUAAAGUUUUAACUUUUUGUUUUUGUUGUAAACCGCCCAGAGACAUAAGUUUUGGGUGGUAUAAAAAUAUGUUAAAUAAAUAAAUAGAUAGCUAGAUAGAGA
Hemicordylus capensis (graceful crag lizard) is the source of this 797-nucleotide long non-coding RNA. RefSeq lists it as uncharacterized. The record is from RefSeq and is a predicted model, not a curated record. The transcript is spliced from 3 exons. Lineage: Eukaryota; Metazoa; Chordata; Lepidosauria; Squamata; Cordylidae.